UACGUAGGGUGCGAGCGUUGUCCGGAAUUAUUGGGCGUAAAGGGCUCGUAGGCGGUUUGUCGCGUCGGGAGUGAAAAUCCAGGGCUUAACUCUGGACUGGCUUCCGAUACGGGCAGACUAGAGGUAUGCAGGGGAGAACGGAAUUCCUGGUGUAGCGGUGAAAUGCGCAGAUAUCAGGAGGAACACCCGAGGCGAAGGCGGCCCUCUGGCUCGACCCUGACGCUGAGGCGCGAAAGCGUGGGGAGCGAACGGG
RNAcentral lists this ribosomal RNA (253 nucleotides) under uncultured bacterium. Its description in RNAcentral is "partial 16S ribosomal RNA". It matches the Rfam family "Bacterial small subunit ribosomal RNA", at positions 524 to 776 of the family's 1533-position model. The record is from RNAcentral.